AGAUAAAAUCUAGAUAUUUUAGUAGAGUUAUAGAGAUGAUGGUAUAAUAAUCUACAACAUUUGUAAGCCAUCCUUGGAGGCGAUAAAUACCUCUUCACCCCUUCUUUCGUAAUUAAGUUGAGCAAGUGAAUAAAAAAGAAAGUGUUCUUCAUAAGUUCUCUAAGAGGGUUUCUCAUCUUAGUUUUUUCGAGUGUCUCGGGGAAUUACGGUCUUUGGCUAGUAUGCAGGGGAUUUGACUUUUGGUUUCCUAAUUAGUUGAUUCGAGCGAAUACUCAUGUAACAUUCUCAACCCAAAACGAUGGGUGUCAAUCAACACCAAGGGAGGGUGUCACUCGACACCAUCAACUUUAGGGCGCUCGGGUUAAGUUCCUUAACUCAAAGGAAAUGUUCAAAACCCUAUUAGAUGGAUGAUAAAAUCUUGUCCAUAAUUCUUCUUACCAUAUUUAUUAAUCCAUCAUUAUCUCUUAAAUGUGUUUCUUAUGCUUUUGUACAGCUUUUAGCCACAUGUUUUGAAUUAUAUUUAGCAAAAAUGGAAGCAACUAAAGAGGUGGCCGCGUAGCUAUGGUAGUUUGCAGACCAUCCUUCACUACUUCCAUACGUACUUCACAAUACUGAAAUUUCUGUUCAUUUUCAUAACCAUGAUUAAAGGUAAACAGACUACCUAUUAAGAAAAUCUUAUGUCAAAAGAUGAAUGAGAGAGUAUUUGUGGCA
This is a long non-coding RNA of Arabidopsis lyrata subsp. lyrata, 711 nucleotides long. RefSeq lists it as uncharacterized. The transcript has 2 exons. Lineage: Eukaryota; Viridiplantae; Streptophyta; Magnoliopsida; Brassicales; Brassicaceae. The record is from RefSeq and is a predicted model, not a curated record.